UUUAUUGGAGAGUUUGAUCCUGGCUCAGGAUGAACGCUGGCGGCGUGCCUAAUACAUGCAAGUCGAGCGAAUGGAUUAAGAGCUUGCUCUUAUGAAGUUAGCGGCGGACGGGUGAGUAACACGUGGGUAACCUGCCCAUAAGACUGGGAUAACUCCGGGAAACCGGGGCUAAUACCGGAUAACAUUUUGAACUGCAUGGUUCGAAAUUGAAAGGCGGCUUCGGCUGUCACUUAUGGAUGGACCCGCGUCGCAUUAGCUAGUUGGUGAGGUAAUGGCUCACCAAGGCAACGAUGCGUAGCCGACCUGAGAGGGUGAUCGGCCACACUGGGACUGAGACACGGCCCAGACUCCUACGGGAGGCAGCAGU
This 367-nucleotide ribosomal RNA is filed under the name Bacillus thuringiensis serovar canadensis. RNAcentral's name for it is "bacterial SSU rRNA". It matches the Rfam family "Bacterial small subunit ribosomal RNA", at positions 1 to 355 of the family's 1533-position model. Lineage: Bacteria; Bacillati; Bacillota; Bacilli; Caryophanales; Bacillaceae. The record is from RNAcentral.